Long non-coding RNA from Notolabrus celidotus (New Zealand spotty), 230 nucleotides. RefSeq lists it as uncharacterized. The transcript is spliced from 2 exons. Lineage: Eukaryota; Metazoa; Chordata; Actinopteri; Labriformes; Labridae. The record is from RefSeq and is a predicted model, not a curated record.
UUAGGUAGUCAACAAAGAAACAUUCAGAACCUGACACGUAAACCUGGAGCUCCAUGAGAAAGGAACUGCUGACUCGACAGGUUCAUCUGCUGACAGUCUUGCUAACGCUAGCUGACAGAGGCUAGUGCAGCUAAGUUAGCAUGCAUUUAAGGUCUCGUAUUCUGUCAAUACCACCGUUAAAAACAGCACAUUAAAGCUUCAAGUGAUUCCUCGCUUUGACAUGAUCAAAA